Molecule: non-coding RNA, 140 nt
Organism: Gossypium arboreum
Lineage: Eukaryota; Viridiplantae; Streptophyta; Magnoliopsida; Malvales; Malvaceae
Source: Rfam
CGAAAAGCAGGGGCCUGUUUUCUUUAUCAUGAACCGGUCUCUCGUAAACCUCAGGGAUAUUGGAGUGAUCCAUUGUUCUUGGGUGAACCACAGCACUAUUCCCUGUGGCUAUUUGUGGUUCAGUAAAUGAUGGAACAAUU